AAAUCUGCGAAAUAGAUUGAGAAAAAGUUUCGUUUAAUUAUUAUUGAUCAGAUAGCCAAAUGGAAUUUUCAUUGUUUCAACGUUUGCCAGACGCGUUUAUAUUUUUCGUGAUUGAAAAAUUCUCGUAGAAAUUGGAUUCGAGACAGAGGUUUUAAUCUAAAACUCGUAACUUUUCGAGGGAAAAUAUCGGUGGGGAAACGGUACAUUUCAAACGAAUGAACGAGUGUUGUAGGACGAGAACUAUUGGCCUAUUGUGAGGAAAUUGUUCGUUACGGACAGUACUUUUUUAGUUGUUUGGUACGAAACGAUGAUACCGGUGUGCACGGAUAGAAUUUCACCGAAACAAUUCCUGUGUAUGACGUGUAAAGGGAUUCUGGUAAAUGGCUAUUUUCAAAUCAAUCACAUGGCACCCGUUUCAUUCAGUUUGUGGGACGAACAAUGUUGUCUGGAUUUGUCUUCGACGGUUCGUGCGGUUUUUUGAUAUAUAUAUAUAUAUAUAUAUCGUAU
This is a long non-coding RNA of Apis florea (little honeybee), 507 nucleotides long. The record is from RefSeq and is a predicted model, not a curated record. NCBI's taxonomy places the organism in Eukaryota, Metazoa, Arthropoda, Insecta, Hymenoptera, Apidae.